Molecule: long non-coding RNA, 3731 nt
Organism: Hemicordylus capensis (graceful crag lizard)
Lineage: Eukaryota; Metazoa; Chordata; Lepidosauria; Squamata; Cordylidae
Exons: 6
Source: RefSeq, a predicted model, not a curated record
AUAGGGAUGGACCAGGCUAGAGAGCAGAUCUCUAGAGAAAUAGGGUCUGCUCUGGGACUAGAGGGCUUCCAGGGAAGGACUGGGUAGGACAGGAUCUGAGUCUAUAGGUGAUAUAUGAUCCAACUGUGGUUACCUCCGUCAUAUUGCUUGAGGUUGUUCUCAUGCUCGGACAAAACUGGGCUAACAAAGCCCAGCCCGGUUUCGCCCACGCGUGAGAACUGCCGAGAGCUGCUCAACUCCUGGCGGCAGCAUGGAAACAAGCCUACCUCCAGAGCCCACCUAAAAAAUUAGGUUAAGGAAGCAAAUGCUCCCGUAACCUCAUUUUGGCAAUUGUCUACCAGCCCCAGCUGCUUGCAGACGGGACUGGGAGGCUGUGGGGCUCCUGGCCAGCAUCAGGAGGAUCCCCAUAAUGCUCUGCACACUAGUGCUGGGCAUUAUGGGAGUUCCAGGGGGCAGGGAGAUACUCCCUGCUGCAAAGGCAGCUGCACGUCUGGGCAUGCAAUCUCCACACCCAGACUCAUCAAAAGGAUCAUCUGCAGGGGAAGUAAGCUUUUGAAGGCUUCCUUCCCUUGCCCCUUUUGAGCCCUUUCUCCGAUCGUGAGAAAGGGCUCAUUCACCUAUCUUUCCAAAUAAACUGUCUAGAAGUUCUGCCAGUAUUUGAAGGCUGUGUGUCAGAACCAUACACCACUUGUUAUAUACACUUUAGCCAAGCCUUGACAUUGUUGUUAAGAAACCAUUACGAGUGUGAAGCUCUGCUUUGGCAGAGAGAAAUCAUUAAGCUGCUUGUAAAAACCCAGUCAGGAAGAGCUUGGUGGUGGAAGUGAAAGUGGUGGAAGCGAAAAGCAAGGAAGGAUAGAACAUAUCCCUUAGUAAUAUUGGUUCACAUAGUUAUAAGUUGAUAACCUCUGUAGUUUGGGUACAGACCCCACUCAAAAGCAGUGUCAAGGUGGGGUGUCGCUUGCGAGCAUACAGUUUGUAUUUUCUCAGUACUUAUGUUUCAGGAUUACUCUGUUGAGAACCUAGAAGAGAUACCACUGUAAUGUAUUGUUGAUGAGACUGCCAAUCAAACCAGUUUUGGAAAUUUCAGCUAAUGCAGAAUGCAGAGACUUACUACCAAAAAAAGUGCAAUUUCAUGUCGAUGUUAAACAACAUCGGAGACAACAUGGAGCCCUGAGGGACACCACAGGAAAGUUCAGAUUUUGAAGAACAACAGUCUUCAAGAAACACCAUUUGGAAUCUGCCUGUGAAGUAGGAGUGGAAACACUACAAAUCAGUGCCUCCCAUUUGCAUGCCUAGUCCUCAUGGAGGCUGCAAGGAACAGUGCCUCAGCCCCACGCGGCCAGUUGGAGACCGGGCGCUGUGCCCAGAAAAGUGGCGAAGUGGUGAGGAGCAGGGAACUGACGUUGUGGCUAUCCUAGGGAAAAGGGCUGCCAAGAUAUACUCAUAUUAAAAUCGUGAGGUGUUGUAGAUCCUUCACUGAUAGCCAUUUCCAGGAACUGACAUAAUGAGUUUCACUGGUGUUCAAAUUUUAAAGGAACAGCAUGACUACUUCAAGAUGUGUUCAGUAAGCCAGAGAACCUAUGGUACAUAUAGUUUCCCGUGCAUUUUGAGAAAGUUUUUGUACACUAAAUGGCAUAUGUAGGGAAAUCAGUGGAUUAUUCUUCUCCAUAUUCCAAGAAAGGAAAGCAUCAAGAAUGUCUCCAUAGCCUCUCCAGAGAAUUGGCAAAUGAGUCUCUUACAGUAAAGCAAGGAUCCUCCCAAGGAUAAACUAUGAGGAAUUUUCUCAGCUUCUCCACCUCCUGAGUAUGCCAGCACAAUUGUGGGACUUGGAAGCAUGCUCGUGUGGACAUUGUUUACAGCAUCCAUGAUUACCUGACUAGAGAUUUUGAACAGAGUUAUUUCUAUCACCAUGAUCAACUUUGGCAUGCCACACCAUCAACUUUACCUUAGUAGAAAUAAUAGCAAUGCAGAUAUGUCUAAAUUUUCAAUAUCAGGUGUUCAUUUAUUGUUUACAUUGUUAAUUGUCUGUCUGUCUGUCUAUUUGUUUGUGUGUGUGUGUGUGUGUGUUUGUUUGUUUGUUUAUUUAUUUAAUACAUUUAUAUACAGCCCUAUACAAAAAGGUCCCUGGACAGUUCACAAUACAAAACCAAUUAAAACAUUAACAUAAUUAAAACAAUUUAAAAUACAAUAAAAACUCUAAAACUGAAACUUUAAAACUAUAAACUAAAAAGCCUGACUAAACAGGAAUGUUUUUAGGUCCUUCUUAAAAACGUUCAGAGAAGCGGAAAUUCUAAUAUCAUUAGAAGCGCAUUCCAGAGUCCCGGGACAUCUCUAGAAAAGGCCCAGUUUCAAGUUGCCACCAACCGAGCCAGUGGCAACCACAACUGGAUGUCCCCAGAUGACCUUAACCAGUGGUGGGGUUGAUGAAGAAGAAGGAGCUCUCUUAAAUCACUCGGACCCAAGCCGUUUAUGUCAAGCAGCAGCAUACAUGACAAGAGUAACAUGAUUGUGUCCUGUGAAUGUUCGCACAGUGUUUCUGUGCAUCAUUCUAUGUAUUUUUUGGGGGAAAGUAGCAGAAUGUUCCUUGUGGUGGCAUCUAUUCUGACCUCAUGUUAUGGCUUUUGGGAACUGCAAAGUGAGGCCAACAAACCUCCAUGGAUGCCUGUUAUAUUAGCAUGUGAUCUUUUGGAUCACAUUCAUGUUUGCAGAGAUUGUUCAUUUUAGCAAACCAUAUCUGAAUCCCCAUACUUGCACAGGGUUAAACUAAAGCCAUUGGACAGCACAACAAGCUAGGUAUCUAGCCACCUGAUGAUUCUCUAUUAAUUCCUAAAAGGUCAGAAAACCCAUUAUUUUCUCAGGUUGCAGCUUUUCAAGCACCACUACUUUGUCACAUUUCCUUCUCAGUGUUUCGCACAUACCUUCUGCCUCCCAUAUAGCAUACAGUCCCUUCUGAUCUUAAGCACUGUGAAGUUGCUUCAAAGUCUCAUCUGACCAACACCGGUUUUUGAUAAGCCUUUUUCUUUUCACCAUACUUGCUUUCUGUUUGUAGCUUCUCUGCAUCUUCUCUUUAGCCUCCUCUAGACUCCUUGUCCCUUAAGCUGCCAGUAUUUAAUUUCAUUUUAAUCCCAACCAAAUUGACAAUGUUCCUUUCUCUUACAGAAACUGGCCUGCAUACUGUUUAUCUCCCUGACACGGAAUAUUCCAGAGCUACUGUACAAACUCAUCCAAUUGUUGACAAAGGUUUCAGCUCUGUAUGUGCCAUACUGUAUAGACUGGUAUGAAACACUUAGCUAAUUAAGUCACUGAACUGCACAGUCGGCUUUUCUGAGUUCAUGUAGCUCAGUAACGUUUUCCAUUUAAAAUAUUUAAUAAACCUAUUUGUAACUCAACAGCAGGCAAGGGUUUUUGAAAACAAUGAACAUGGGAAAUGAUAUUUUUCAUCUAAUGUCUUAAAUCUGGCUAUCUUUUACUCAUCUGUUUACAGUGAGAGUGUUCAGGUAAUGAAAAGAAAUGGUUUGGGACUUAUUCUCAUCCUCAAGAGAUCAUUUCAUUUCCCUGCACCAUAACAACAUGGCUGAAGAAAAUGCAAGUCGGCUUGUUAUUAUGUGGUGACUACUAGCGUACUUAUUUUAAUGCUUUCCCAUUAUUUACCAUCUGUUCUUUGUUUAGCCAGAAUAGAUUUUCUUCAUAGUUCAUUUGGACACUUGAGACAAAUAAAGCAUUCUUGUCAA